This 863-nucleotide ribosomal RNA is filed under the name marine bacterium AK16_027. Its description in RNAcentral is "bacterial SSU rRNA". It matches the Rfam family "Bacterial small subunit ribosomal RNA", at positions 168 to 1047 of the family's 1533-position model. The record is from RNAcentral.
ACCGGAUAUGAACUCCUGCCGCAUGGUGGGGGUUGGAAAGUUUUUCGGUGCAGGAUGAGCCCGCGGCCUAUCAGCUUGUUGGUGGGGUAAUGGCCUACCAAGGCGACGACGGGUAGCCGGCCUGAGAGGGUGAUCGGCCACACUGGGACUGAGACACGGCCCAGACUCCUACGGGAGGCAGCAGUGGGGAAUAUUGCACAAUGGGCGAAAGCCUGAUGCAGCGACGCCGCGUGGGGGAUGACGGUCUUCGGAUUGUAAACCCCUUUCAGUAGGGACGAAGCGCAAGUGACGGUACCUGCAGAAGAAGCACCGGCUAACUACGUGCCAGCAGCCGCGGUAAUACGUAGGGUGCGAGCGUUGUCCGGAAUUACUGGGCGUAAAGAGCUCGUAGGCGGUUUGUCACGUCGUCUGUGAAAUCCCUCGGCUUAACCGGGGGCGUGCAGGCGAUACGGGCAGACUUGAGUACUACAGGGGAGACUGGAAUUCCUGGUGUAGCGGUGAAAUGCGCAGAUAUCAGGAGGAACACCGGUGGCGAAGGCGGGUCUCUGGGUAGUAACUGACGCUGAGGAGCGAAAGCAUGGGUAGCGAACAGGAUUAGAUACCCUGGUAGUCCAUGCCGUAAACGGUGGGCGCUAGGUGUGGGGUCCUUCCACGGACUCCGUGCCGUAGCUAACGCAUUAAGCGCCCCGCCUGGGGAGUACGGCCGCAAGGCUAAUACUCAGAGGAAUUGACGGGGGCCCGCACAAGCGGCGGAGCAUGUGGAUUAAUUCGAUGCAACGCGAAGAACCUUACCUAGGCUUGACAUAUACAGGACGACGGCAGAGAUGUCGUUUCCCUUGUGGCUUGUAUACAGGUGGUGCAUG